Small nuclear RNA from Suncus etruscus (white-toothed pygmy shrew), 162 nucleotides. RefSeq annotates it as U1 spliceosomal RNA. The record is from RefSeq and is a predicted model, not a curated record. Lineage: Eukaryota; Metazoa; Chordata; Mammalia; Eulipotyphla; Soricidae. The transcript has a single exon.
AUGCAUACCUGGUAGGGGAGAGACCAGGUUCAUGAAGGUGGUUUUCCUAAGGUAAGGCUUCUCCAUUACACCCUAGAGAUGUGACCCUUGCAAUUUCCCCAAAUGUGAAAACUCCACUGCAUCAUUUAUGGUAGUAGGGGAUUGUGUUCAUGCUCUUGCCUG